RNAcentral lists this microRNA (18 nucleotides) under Zea mays. RNAcentral describes it as "microRNA miR-3129". The record is from RNAcentral. Lineage: Eukaryota; Viridiplantae; Streptophyta; Magnoliopsida; Poales; Poaceae.
AAAUUGCGGACUAUUUUC